AAUCUGAGAGAGAAUAGAUGUGUGUACGUGUAUAACUGAAUCACUCUGUUACAUAGCAGACAUUAUCACAACAUUGUAAGUCAGCUAUACUUUAAUAAAACUUAAAAAAAAAAGUUUUGUACUGACACAUUGCCCUCUUGAAAGGCUACACCAAGGAGCAUUCCAACCCACAGUGUGUGAAGAUGGCUGUUUUCCUUCAACCCUACUGUCACCUACUGUCGCUAUACAUUAGCUAUACAUUAGCUGCACUUUGUUUAAUUGUUUUUAUUAUAAACCAUCUCCAAUUUGGGGGUGAAGGCCUUUAAUAAACUGACUUCUGAUAGCUUCCUCUCUGACUUCAGCUUUUCAGCGUCGCUCUUUUUUUGGUGUAGCCAUUCCUUACUGUUUGUGGGUCUAUGAAUAAGUAUGUAAUCAACAGAACAGUUGAUAUCCAAUCGGAGACUGGAUGUAUAUGUAUAUUUAAAUAUGACUGGAUUUUAGUCUUAUCUAGAGAAGACCUCAUAAAAUGCAAGUAUGAGCUCUCAAAGGCUUUGCCUCUGCUCAGCUCUGCCCUAUCACACCAAGGUGAAAAGUCCGCUCUAUCUGUAGACGUCUAUUCAAUUUCAUUUCCUUACAAGCACAGGUGGAAGGAGAAAGGAUGAAACAUCAUUAAUGAAGAUAAAUGAUGUUGGUGUUUAUAUAUGACGACUGUGAUAGUCUAUUGGCAAACACACUAGACUGUGGACAUUUGCAUUGUACAGUCAUGGUGAGAGCUGUUAUUUAUAUCAGGGGUCAGCAAAUUCUAGCCCAUGGACUAAGUCUAGCCACCCUUUGAUUUUGUAAAUGGAUGUUCAUUGGCUCAGUCACACCUGUUGAUUUGUCAAUCAAAUUGAUUUGUCAUCGUCUGUGGCUGUUCCCUUGCUACAACUUCAUAGUUGAGUUGUUUUGAUUCAGACUUUAUCCACAAAAACUAAAAUAUUGUCUGUAACUUUACAAAAAAAAAAAAAGUGUCCUGAUCCUUGACUUAUAUUCUACUUAAGAGCUUACAAAGAGUUUUCACCAGAAAGAUCCACUUUAGUCCUCACUGUCCCGUGACAGAAAGCUGGCCUUAUUACUCAUCCCAGUGUAUGGAUGUGUAAAUGGAUCUCUUCCAGGUUAAAUUGUUGUCCAAGAUCAUGCUUAGGUUCUGUGAGGAGGAGCUGGAUUUUUUUUUUCUUUUUAGAGCCACUCCCCUGUCAUGUGGAGGUUCCCAGCUACAGCUCUGAAUCAGCCCCUAGCCUGAGAACUUCCAUAUGCCUUGGGUUCAGCCCUACAAAAAAAACAAAAAAAACAAAAAAAAAAAAAGUUGCCUCUGUGCCCAGAGAAGAGGGCAGUGCCACUCUCACCUGUCCCUUAUCUCUUCUUUCCUAGUUGAUUUUCACAAUUGCAGGGUUGGGUUUGACGUGAGACAUGCAAAAAAAAAUGAGAAGGGAGAGGCGAUGUUAUAAACCCAUUUGAUGUGAUCCAAAUGGAUUCCAUCAGCUUGCUGCAUCACGGAGAUGAACUUAACAUGAGCGAGCAUCAUUCGUCUGGCAGGGCUGGAGCUCAGUUCCAGAGAGCGCCCGUGUCAAAUGAGAGGAGAGCAAGGGUCUUAUUAAGGCCCUGGCUGACAUCUCACCACAAAAAAAGAGAACAUCAAAGUCGGCCUGGUGUGCUGUCCACACAGGGAGUCCUGUGAAUAGGGCCCCAAUGUCAGGCCCAGUCUCAGUGGCCUUUUGCACCAUCCAACACAGGCUGGCCAUGAGCAUUUUUUGCACUGCACCAGGAUUGAGGUUUAAUUUGUGCAGAAACAACAGGCAUAAACUAGUUGUGUAGCUUAUCUGUUGCACAAUAGCUUAAACAGAGCCAAAUUAUACUCCUGUCCUCCCAGCAGGCGUGCCCACUAGCGCUGACACACACACACACACACACACACACACACACACACACACACACACACAGAGAGACCUCGAGAAGAUCUAUUAUAGCAGAAAGAUCGAUGACUCUGUUCCUCUUUCUUUAGAAUUAUAAGAUAAGCCCUUUACUUGUCCUGAAUCUUCGGUCACAUUCAAUGUAUAUGCAAAAGUUCAAAGGCUGACUCUGACAAAGGGCGUUUGGAGAAGUACGAUAAAAUGUGUCUGAUAAAACACACACAAAAGACUUUAGCAAUAAGACUUAUAAACUGGGAAAGCAGGACUUGGGCAGCGGGUUUGAAACAGUAUUAUCUACAGCUUCAGCACUGAAAGAUAGUGGCCCGGAGCAGGAGGCUUUAUCUGGCCUCCACAAGAAGAGAGAUUGUACCGCCCCCGAACCACCCUGUCUGCAAAGCCCAGGAAACACCUUGCAGAGGGACUGAUGCAACCAUCACCACCCUGGCCAGCCCUUGGUGACAGUUAAGAAGUGUCACAACACAGCAUUGAGCAACCACCUCAUGCAUCAUCUCGGCCUGGCCUGUGUUUUACGCGACACUUUCCCACUGGAGAGACAAAAUGGGACGUUUAGGCUGACAUUUUUUUGGUUCUUCCCUUGCUUUCAGUUUAGAUCGUCAAAGAGAGGCAAGGGGCAUUUUCCCUUCUGCUUUUCCCAUACAGUUUGAAACAUCCUUUCCCAACUGACGUUUCAGGUAGAGGAUUAGUCACAGUCGUUCUUUGCAUCUUAUUGCAUUAAUUUCUCGAGAGUUUCAAGGGGUUCUCCGUACCUCUCCUGGGAGAUUCAUGACUCAGUCCCCGCAGUUUCUUCAAAGCUGGAGUUUAAUUUAUGUGAUUGCAAUUGGAAAGCCACUUUGAAAGGGGAGAAAUCAACUUAGUUUUUCGUGAGUUCUAAAUUUUCUGUAAAUAAAAUUUCACAAGUCUAUCCCUCUUAAAAAAAAAAAAAA
Molecule: long non-coding RNA, 2872 nt
Filed under: Sus scrofa (pig)
Lineage: Eukaryota; Metazoa; Chordata; Mammalia; Artiodactyla; Suidae
Description: lncRNA (ENSSSCG00005018900.1)
Source: RNAcentral